This 302-nucleotide ribosomal RNA is filed under the name uncultured bacterium. RNAcentral describes it as "bacterial SSU rRNA". It matches the Rfam family "Bacterial small subunit ribosomal RNA", at positions 30 to 334 of the family's 1533-position model. The record is from RNAcentral.
AUUGAACGCUGGCGGCAUGCCUUACACAUGCAAGUCGAACGGUAACAGGUCUUCGGACGCUGACGAGUGGCGAACGGGUGAGUAAUACAUCGGAACGUGCCCAGUCGUGGGGGAUAACUACUCGAAAGAGUAGCUAAUACCGCAUACGAUCUGAGGAUGAAAGCGGGGGACCUUCGGGCCUCGCGCGAUUGGAGCGGCCGAUGGCAGAUUAGGUAGUUGGUGGGAUAAAAGCUUACCAAGCCGACGAUCUGUAGCUGGUCUGAGAGGUUGAUCGGCCACAUUGGGACUGAGACACGGCCCAG